GGGGUUGUGCCUCAGUGGUAGAGUACUCACCUAGCAUGUGUGAGGCCCUGGGUUCGAUCCUCAGCACCACA
Molecule: transfer RNA, 71 nt
Filed under: Marmota monax (woodchuck)
Lineage: Eukaryota; Metazoa; Chordata; Mammalia; Rodentia; Sciuridae
Description: tRNA.Ala
Rfam family: tRNA
About the family: Transfer RNA (tRNA) molecules are approximately 80 nucleotides in length. Their secondary structure includes four short double-helical elements and three loops (D, anti-codon, and T loops). Further hydrogen bonds mediate the characteristic L-shaped molecular structure. tRNAs have two regions of fundamental functional importance: the anti-codon, which is responsible for specific mRNA codon recognition, and the 3' end, to which the tRNAs corresponding amino acid is attached (by aminoacyl-tRNA synthetases). tRNAs cope with the degeneracy of the genetic code in two manners: having more than one tRNA (with a specific anti-codon) for a particular amino acid; and 'wobble' base-pairing, i.e. permitting non-standard base-pairing at the 3rd anti-codon position.
Source: RNAcentral